AUACGGAGGGGGUUAGCGUUGUUCGGAAUUACUGGGCGUAAAGCGUACGUAGGCGGACUGGAAAGUUGGGGGGGAAAUCCCGGGGCUCAACCCCGGAACUGCCUCCAAAACUUCCAAUCUAGAGAUCGAGAGAGGUGAGUGGAAUUCCAAGUGUAGAGGUGAAAUUCGUAGAUAUUUGGAGGAACACCAGUGGCGAAGGCGGCUCACUGGCUCGAUACUGACGCUGAGGUACGAAAGCGUGGGGAGCAAACAGGAUUAGAUACCCUAGUAGUCC
Molecule: ribosomal RNA, 274 nt
Filed under: uncultured bacterium
Lineage: Bacteria
Description: partial 16S ribosomal RNA
Rfam family: Bacterial small subunit ribosomal RNA
Source: RNAcentral